GAUGAACGCUGGCGGCGUGCCUAAUACAUGCAAGUCGAGCGAACAGACGAGGAGCUUGCUCCUCUGACGUUAGCGGCGGACGGGUGAGUAACACGUGGAUAACCUACCUAUAAGACUGGGAUAACUUCGGGAAACCGGAGCUAAUACCGGAUAAUAUAUUGAACCGCAUGGUUCAAUAGUGAAAGACGGUUUUGCUGUCACUUAUAGAUGGAUCCGCGCCGCAUUAGCUAGUUGGUAAGGUAACGGCUUACCAAGGCAACGAUGCGUAGCCGACCUGAGAGGGUGAUCGGCCACGCUGGAACUGAGACACGGUCCAGACUCCUACGGGAGGCAGCAGUAGGGAAUCUUCCGCAAUGGGCGAAAGCCUGACGGAGCAACGCCGCGUGAGUGAUGAAAGUCUUCGGAUCGUAAAACUCUGUUAUUAGGGAAGAACAAAUGUGUAAGUAACUAUGCACGUCUUGACGGUACCUAAUCAGAAAGCCACGGCUAACUACGUG
This 497-nucleotide ribosomal RNA is filed under the name uncultured bacterium. Its description in RNAcentral is "partial 16S ribosomal RNA". It matches the Rfam family "Bacterial small subunit ribosomal RNA", at positions 28 to 507 of the family's 1533-position model. The record is from RNAcentral.